AAGCUCCCAAGCUUCUUGCUCUUCUGGGAAAAAUCCAAUUUUAAAAAAAUAAUAAGCCCUAAGAAAAUGGAAUGCAAAUUUUAUUUUCUUGUGGAUGACUCUUAAGGCUUGUGAAACUUACUGAAAUUACAUAGGGCCUAACCCAAUAGCCCCAUUCCAAGCUCUUGGUGAAUAUUCAGCUUUAGGAAAAUUAUGUUUUAAGUAUAAAAUGCACCCACUUGCUUUAUAGGAGAAGGAAAUGGCAACCCAAUCCAAUGUUUUUGCCUGGAAAAUUCCAUGGACAGAGGUGAUUGGCAGGCUACAGUCCAUGGGAUCGCAGAGAGUCAGACACGACUGAGCAACUAUCACUCACUCCUUCACUUUCUUUAUAAGGCUUCCUUAUACACCUUGGCUUCAAUGAGGUAAUAGAUAUUAAACUGUGGCAUGUAAAGUUUUCCACAUAUGUGAAGUUUAAUUCUUUUGUUGCCUCCUACCCCAGAGCCCGUGCCCUCUCCCCAGAUUCUGGUGGGAUCAACAUCCAUCACACCAGACUGGUGCAACGUCACCCUGGAGUGCAGAGCCUCUGGGGCCACAGACGAUCUGAACGUGACCUGGGAGAACAAGGGCAUCCCCAGAGAAUGGGAGCAGAGAAGGACAUUAGAACCAGCUUCCAGCCCAUACAUUCUGGCUGUGAGCGUGCCAAGAGGCCAGCCCAAUGCCAGCCUCGUCUGUGUGGUCAGCAACCCGGUGGGAUAUAAAACUGAGUUCUUCAACCUUGGGGGAGUCUGCGUCCAUGAUUCAGCCAAUCUGGUCAUUGCUGAACUCUUGCCAGGCAUCCUUGGGGCAGUUGCGGCUGUGUUAUUGAUCCUCGGAGGCGGACUGUACCUUUGGAAGAUACAUAGGAAGAAGAUGGAGACUGGAAAAGGCAGGUUUCCCUUCUCCUUCCAUGCCCACAAACCUCUCUUUCUCAUUGCAUUCUUGAUAUCCUUUCUCCUACAGUUUGUUCCCUUGAAAUGUCCCUGCAAAGGGUUUAGUAGGUCUGGCCAUGGUCUGUGUCCAUAGCAGUGGGUGAGAGUGCAGAUUUCCAAGGCUCAGAUUCAACCUCCACUCUGCCUGUCUCUCAGGUGCAAGAUCACAAGAUGCUGAUGAUGAUAGCAUCCAGUAUGUAGAGCUGAGCCAGCAGAAAUCUCAAGAGAGCUCAAACAAGGUGAGAGCUGGGCUGUGUGCUCUCCCAGGUCUCUCACUGCCUGGCCUGAGUUUGUC
RNAcentral lists this long non-coding RNA (1242 nucleotides) under Bos mutus (wild yak). Its description in RNAcentral is "lncRNA (ENSBMUG00000026847.1)". The record is from RNAcentral. Lineage: Eukaryota; Metazoa; Chordata; Mammalia; Artiodactyla; Bovidae.